GUGUUUGUUCCCGUGAUCAGCCUUGAGCAAGCCAGAGCACUGAUGGAUCUGCUGGAGUUCAACUCACACACUUCAGUCAGGAACAAGAAGUUUAUCUGCAGUCACAAAUAUAGAGAAAAGAAGUUGUACAAAUAGCUGAAGGCGCAGCAGCCAGUGUUCCUCAUCCUUUAGCUUAUGUGGAUGGCAGCAUUCACUAUCAGUUUCACAC
Molecule: long non-coding RNA, 208 nt
Organism: Sinocyclocheilus rhinocerous
Lineage: Eukaryota; Metazoa; Chordata; Actinopteri; Cypriniformes; Cyprinidae
Exons: 3
Source: RefSeq, a predicted model, not a curated record